This 561-nucleotide ribosomal RNA is filed under the name uncultured bacterium. RNAcentral describes it as "partial 16S ribosomal RNA". It matches the Rfam family "Bacterial small subunit ribosomal RNA", at positions 355 to 1376 of the family's 1533-position model. The record is from RNAcentral.
UAGGGAAUCUUGCGCAAUGGGCGAAAGCCUGACGCAGCCAUGCCGCGUGAAUGAUGAAGGUCUUAGGAUUGUAAAAUUCUUUCACCGGGGACGAUAAUGACGGUACCCGGAGAAGAAGCCCCGGCUAACUUCGUGCCAGCAGCCGCGGUAAUACGAAGGGGGCUAGCGUUGCUCGGAAUUACUGGGCGUAAAGGGCGCGUAGGCGGACAGUUUAGUCAGAGGUGAAAGCCCAGGGCUCAACCUUGGAAUUGCCUUUGAUACUGGCUGUCUUGAGUGCGGGAGAGGUGUGUGGAACUCCGAGUGUAGAGGUGAAAUUCGUAGAUAUUCGGAAGAACACCAGUGGCGAAGGCGACACACUGGCCCGUUACUGACGCUGAGGCGCGAAAGCGUGGGGAGCAAACAGGAUUAGAUACCCUGGUAGUCUACGCCGUAAACGAUGAAUGCUAGUUGUCGGCAUGCAUGCAUGUCGGUGACGCAGCUAACGCAUUAAGCAUUCCGCCUGGGGAGUACGGUCGCAAGAUUAAAACUUAAAUGAAUUGACGGGGUCAUAGCUGUUUCCUG